RNAcentral lists this ribosomal RNA (331 nucleotides) under uncultured bacterium. RNAcentral's name for it is "bacterial SSU rRNA". It matches the Rfam family "Bacterial small subunit ribosomal RNA", at positions 568 to 898 of the family's 1533-position model. The record is from RNAcentral.
CACGCAGGCGGAUUGAUAAGUCAGGGGUGAAAUCCCGGGGCUCAACCUCGGAAUUGCCUUUGAUACUGUCUAUCUUCGAGUUCGGGAGAGGUUGGCGGAAUUCCUAGUGUAGAGGUGAAAUUCGUGGAUAUUAGGAAGAACACCAGUGGCGAAGGCGGCCAACUGGCCCGAUACUGACGCUCAUGUGCGAAAGCGUGGGGAGCAAACAGGAUUAGAUACCCUGGUAGUCCACGCCGUAAACUAUGGAUGCUAGCCGUUGGAGAGCUUGCUCUUCAGUGGCGCAGCUAACGUCUUAAGCAUCCCGCCUGGGGAGUACGGUCGCAAGAUUAAA